This 204-nucleotide ribosomal RNA is filed under the name Triticum aestivum (bread wheat). RNAcentral describes it as "partial small subunit ribosomal RNA". The record is from RNAcentral. Lineage: Eukaryota; Viridiplantae; Streptophyta; Magnoliopsida; Poales; Poaceae.
AUGUGCUCUCCGGCGCCUGUGGAUCCGUCCAGGAGGAUCGCCACCCUCGACUUCGUCUUCCCCGAGCAACAACUGGAGCUGGGACGUCCCGUACAUUCGCCAUCGACAUCGUCAUCUCCGCGUACAUCGUCGUCGUCCGCCGUCGUUUGCCGCUACUCCGGUCCGUCCCCGGCCACCCCGACCACGUCCCCGAGCUCACUGUGA